RNAcentral lists this ribosomal RNA (129 nucleotides) under Henningsomyces sp. RNAcentral's name for it is "partial small subunit ribosomal RNA". It matches the Rfam family "Eukaryotic small subunit ribosomal RNA", at positions 1651 to 1777 of the family's 1831-position model. Lineage: Eukaryota; Fungi; Basidiomycota; Agaricomycetes; Agaricales; Schizophyllaceae. The record is from RNAcentral.
CCCUGCCCUUUGUACACACCGCCCGUCGCUACUACCGAUUGAAUGGCUUAGUGAGGUCUUCGGAUUGGCUUUGGAAAGCCGGCAACGGCAUUCUGUUGCUGAAAAGUUGAUCAAACUUGGUCAUUUAGA